AAACCGGAGCUAAUACCGGAUAAUCCCUUUCUCCACCUGGAGAGAGGGUGAAAGAUGGCUUCGGCUAUCACUAGGGGAUGGGCCCGCGGCGCAUUAGCUAGUUGGUAAGGUAACGGCUUACCAAGGCAACGAUGCGUAGCCGACCUGAGAGGGUGAUCGGCCACACUGGGACUGAGACACGGCCCAGACUCCUACGGGAGGCAGCAGUAGGGAAUCUUCCGCAAUGGACGAAAGUCUGACGGAGCAACGCCGCGU
This 255-nucleotide ribosomal RNA is filed under the name Shouchella clausii. Its description in RNAcentral is "partial 16S ribosomal RNA". It matches the Rfam family "Bacterial small subunit ribosomal RNA", at positions 154 to 402 of the family's 1533-position model. Lineage: Bacteria; Bacillati; Bacillota; Bacilli; Caryophanales; Bacillaceae. The record is from RNAcentral.